AAAAAAUAAAAAAUUGAAGCCUUUAGAAGGGAAGGUUACAAAUUGUUUGGAUUGAAAGAAAUUGCAAAGUAAACAUAGACCUGUGUAAAUGUGUUAAUUGUAGUGAGCACACUAAUUAACCUGAGAUAGAGGGAGAGAUCUGUUUGCGCCAAAAAUGCGUCCUUUUGCGCCACAACUUUUUUUCUCCAAUGCUACGUUUGCG
This 202-nucleotide long non-coding RNA is filed under the name Mytilus galloprovincialis (Mediterranean mussel). Lineage: Eukaryota; Metazoa; Mollusca; Bivalvia; Mytilida; Mytilidae. The record is from RNAcentral.